AACGAACGCUGGCGGCAUGCCUAACACAUGCAAGUCGAACGAGACCUUCGGGUCUAGUGGCGCACGGGUGCGUAACGCGUGGGAACCUGCCCUUAGGUUCGGAAUAACUCCCCGAAAGGGGUGCUAAUACCGGAUAAUGUCUUCGGACCAAAGAUUUAUCGCCCUUGGAUGGGCCCGCGUUGUAUUAGCUUGUUGGUAGGGUAAAAGCCUACCAAGGCGACGAUCCAUAGCUGGUCUCAGAGGAUGAUCAGCCACACUGGGGCUGAGACACGGCCGAGACUCCUACGGGAGGCAGCAGUGGGGAAUAUUGGACUAUCGGGUAAAUCCUGAUCCAGCUAUGCCGGGUGAGUGAUGAAGUCCUUAGGGUUGUAAAGCUCUUUUAUCCGCGAUGAUAAUGACAGUACCGGGAGAAUAAGCUCCGGCUAACUUCGUG
Molecule: ribosomal RNA, 433 nt
Filed under: uncultured bacterium
Lineage: Bacteria
Description: partial 16S ribosomal RNA
Rfam family: Bacterial small subunit ribosomal RNA
Source: RNAcentral